Molecule: ribosomal RNA, 328 nt
Filed under: uncultured bacterium
Lineage: Bacteria
Description: bacterial SSU rRNA
Rfam family: Bacterial small subunit ribosomal RNA
Source: RNAcentral
GUGCCAGCAGCCGCGGUAAUACGUAGGUGGCAAGCGUUGUCCGGAUUUAUUGGGCGUAAAGCGCGCGCAGGCGGUUUCUUAAGUCUGAUGUGAAAGCCCACGGCUUAACCGGGGAGGGUCAUUGGAAACUGGGUGACUUGAGUGCAGAAGAGGAAAGCGGAAUUCCAAGUGUAGCGGUGAAAUGCGUAGAGAUUUGGAGGAAGACCAGUGGCGAAGGCGGUUUUCUGGACUGUAACUGACGCUGAGGCGUGAAAGCGUGGGGAGCAAACAGGAUUAGAUACCCUGGUAGUCCAUGCCGUAAACGAUGAGUACUAAGUGUUAGGGGGUU